RNAcentral lists this transfer RNA (68 nucleotides) under Perinereis camiguinoides. Its description in RNAcentral is "tRNA-Ser". The record is from RNAcentral. Lineage: Eukaryota; Metazoa; Annelida; Polychaeta; Phyllodocida; Nereididae.
AAGUUAUGUCGGCACAGAUAAAAGCUUCUAACUUUAUAUCUGAGAGGUUCAACUCCUUUCAUAACUUU